UUUCCGUAGGUGAACCUGCGGAAGGAUCAUUAUUGUAUAACCGAGGUGCGAGGGCUGUCGCUGACCCGAAAGGUCGUGCACGCCCGAGUGCCCUCGCGCACAUCCAUCUCACCCCUAUGUGCACCACCGCGUGGGUCCCCCUUUGGCUUGUUCGGAGGGGGGCUUACGUUUUCACACAAACUUUGUAUGCAGUGUAGAAUGUAUUUUUUGUUUUUGCGAUCACGCAAUCAAUACAACUUUCAACAACGGAUCUCUUGGCUCUC
This 263-nucleotide unclassified non-coding RNA is filed under the name plant metagenome. RNAcentral's name for it is "partial contains small subunit ribosomal RNA, internal transcribed spacer 1, and 5.8S ribosomal RNA". The record is from RNAcentral.